Pluteus cervinus is the source of this 83-nucleotide non-coding RNA. The record is from the annotation of a GenBank genome assembly. NCBI's taxonomy places the organism in Eukaryota, Fungi, Basidiomycota, Agaricomycetes, Agaricales, Pluteaceae.
GACCCCUUAGCUCAGUGGUAGAGCGUGUGAUUCCAGCCAAUGGAACCUCCACAAGGUCAUGCGUUCAACUCGCAUAGGGGUCA